UUGGCUCAGAACGAACGCUGGCGGCAGGCCUAACACAUGCAAGUCGGACGGUAGCACAGAGAGCUUGCUCUUGGGUGACGAGUGGCGGACGGGUGAGUAAUGUCUGGGGAUCUGCCCGAUAGAGGGGGAUAACCACUGGAAACGGUGGCUAAUACCGCAUAACGUCGCAAGACCAAAGAGGGGGACCUUCGGGCCUCUCACUAUCGGAUGAACCCAGAUGGGAUUAGCUAGUAGGCGGGGUAAUGGCCCACCUAGGCGACGAUCCCUAGCUGGUCUGAGAGGAUGACCAGCCACACUGGAACUGAGACACGGUCCCACG
Molecule: ribosomal RNA, 319 nt
Filed under: uncultured Pantoea sp.
Lineage: Bacteria; Pseudomonadati; Pseudomonadota; Gammaproteobacteria; Enterobacterales; Erwiniaceae
Description: bacterial SSU rRNA
Rfam family: Bacterial small subunit ribosomal RNA
Source: RNAcentral